This 253-nucleotide ribosomal RNA is filed under the name uncultured bacterium. RNAcentral describes it as "partial 16S ribosomal RNA". It matches the Rfam family "Bacterial small subunit ribosomal RNA", at positions 524 to 776 of the family's 1533-position model. The record is from RNAcentral.
UACAGAGGUCCCAAGCGUUGUUCGGAUUCACUGGGCGUAAAGGGUGCGCAGGUGGGUUUGCAAGUUCGAUGUGAAAGCCCGGGGCUCAACCCCGGAACGGCACCCGAUACUCUGUGGCUCGAGACCGGGAGAGGUGGGUGGAAUACCCAGUGUAGAGGUGAAAUUCGUAGAUAUUGGGUGGAACACCAGUGGCGAAAGCGGCUCACUGGCCCGGUUCUGACGCUGAGGCGCGAAAGCGUGGGGAGCAAACAGG